RNAcentral lists this ribosomal RNA (534 nucleotides) under Triticum aestivum (bread wheat). Its description in RNAcentral is "partial small subunit ribosomal RNA". The record is from RNAcentral. Lineage: Eukaryota; Viridiplantae; Streptophyta; Magnoliopsida; Poales; Poaceae.
AUGCCUACUGACAAGGCGCCGGGGCCGGAUGGCUUCACCGAUCUCUUCUUCAAGAAGUGCUGGGGCAUCAUCAAGCACGACCUCAUGAGGGUGAUCCAACGCUUUGACUCCUUACACACGGCAAACCUGCACUGGCUCAACUCUGCGAAUAUUGUGUUGCUUCCCAAGAAAGAUGGGGCGGAGAGCAUCGUCGACUUUAGGCCCAUUAGCCUCAUCCAUGCGGUCGCGAAGAUCAUCGCGAAGGUGCUCUCUAUCAGGCUUGGCCCGCACAUGUCCGCCCUCGUCUCUAACGCCAAAGUGCUUUCAUCAAAACACGGAGCAUCCACGACAACUUCAUGUAUGUUAGAAACCUUGCGCGUCGGCUGCAUAAGAGCAGGACCCCCUCUCUCCUCUUCAAGCUUGACAUUCGAAAGGCCUUUGACUCGGUUAAGUGGGAGUAUUUGCUUGAUCUACUGCGGAGACGAGGCUUCCCUAGAAAAUUUCGUGAGUGGAUUGCGGCUCUCCUCUGUUCCUCAUCUUCGAGGGUUCUCUUGA